UACGAAGGGGGCUAGCGUUGCUCGGAAUCACUGGGCGUAAAGGGUGCGUAGGCGGGGCUUUAAGUCAGGGGUGAAAUCCUGGAGCUCAACUCCAGAACUGCCUUCGAUACUGGCGACCUUGAGUCCGGGAGAGGUGAGUGGAACUGCGAGUGUAGAGGUGAAAUUCGUAGAUAUUCGCAAGAACACCAGUGGCGAAGGCGGCUCCCUGGCCCGGUACUGACGCUGAGGUGCGAAAGCGUGGGGAGCAAACAGG
Molecule: ribosomal RNA, 253 nt
Filed under: uncultured bacterium
Lineage: Bacteria
Description: partial 16S ribosomal RNA
Rfam family: Bacterial small subunit ribosomal RNA
Source: RNAcentral